RNAcentral lists this long non-coding RNA (2637 nucleotides) under Homo sapiens (human). Its description in RNAcentral is "HSALNT0263158". Lineage: Eukaryota; Metazoa; Chordata; Mammalia; Primates; Hominidae. The record is from RNAcentral.
UUUGGCUCUUCCCGCCCGGCCUGCGUUGUGCGCCUGCGCAGCCGCCGCAAACCCGCGUUGCUCAGCGAUGGAGUUUGGGGUUCGGCCUCCUUCGGCUGGACUCGGGCAUUUCCGUUCAUGGAGAUGACGCUUCGGCGGCCUUGCAGGUCACUUCCGGCGACUUUCGCGGGGCCGGGCAGGAAGCGGAGUUAGUCGCCAUCUUUGAGUGGGGCAGACGUGGGCCGCUUUUGCUCGCGGUCACUUCAUCUUAAGUUGUAUAUAUGUGCAGAGCGCGGCGCGGGUGGUCACCUCCGCUGCUGCCGCCACCCGCCCGGCCUGCCUUUGACCCUAUGGGUCACAGACAAGGCAGGGUGAUCGCGGCAAGACCCUGAGUGAGACUAGAUGCGUUACCCAGAGGGUGCGAGGUCGAGUACCUUCCCUGUCCCAUCGCAAACCCAAAGAUCCCCGUUCCUGGAGAUUCUGAUUGAGGUCCCAGCCCUACCUGUCCUGAUGCCUGACCAGCAGGAUGCAAGCCCAGGAGGCCAUCCAGGAUACCAGGACUGGGAGAGAAUGUGGGUACGGGGAAUACUCGCCCUGCUUGCAAAAGGUUUUACUAGGGUGGGGAGUUUCUAGAAAGUAGAGGGGCUGUGGGAUCAGUGGUAGUGGUGGGUGGCUUUUUUUGAGGGCAGAAGAUGCUAGAGGAGGUUGAACCUUAUAGGGGAUGAUCUAGGGAAUGGGGGAACUUGGGGAUGCUGGAGUAAGAGGGCUGCCUGCGUAGGGCCAGGAGUGGGGUCGGCAGAGAUGGUGCUGUCCAUGCGGAAGGCCUAGUCCCACCACACCCCAUCUCACUUACCUGGGGAGAAGAUGCCCCCAGCUUCCUCAUGCCACAGGGCCCUGGGGUGCUCCCUCCAUGAGGGACCCUCAGGCCCAGUCUUGCUGUGGGGAAAGAUCUGGUCCAGCACGGUCCCACAUCUCUGAAAUCACAGUGGUCACUGCUCCUCUGUGCCUGGCUGGGCUCAGGGAGGGACCUACCUGACCCCACCCAGCAACUUCCAGGGAAAGGAGGAGAACAUGGACCUGGGCAGGACUUACCUGGGCCUCCUCAGGCAGGAGGGUGGGUACAGACUCCUGGGUGGCAGCUAGAGGCCCAGACUCCAGGAAAUCUAGAGAGGAAAACUGGUAUCAGGCAGCCUGAGUGAGUUUCCACCCCACUGCCCUUCUUAGUGGUGUGCCAGGUGCUGGGAUGCAGAGAGGUGGGAUUCUUGGUUGUGGGCUUGGGUUGGGGAGGGCAGUGCAGGGUAGCUGAGGGCCCAGCUCAGGGGCUGGGUGAAGCAGAGUACCCUGGAAGGCCAGGGGUUGAGCUGCAGUGGGAUGAGAUGGGCUGAGGUUUGUGCCCCUGUAGCCGUAUGUGAACCAUGGGGCAAGGUGGUCAGCGGGGGUCAGAGGUAUUGUACAAGGGUCCACAUAGGAAUGGCAGGGUGUGAGCAGCUAGUUCAGGUGCCCUGCCUGGGAGGUGAAAGGGGUCAUACCCCUAACACUACGAGGUCCUCCCUCAGCAGCUCCUAAUUAUACCUCUGCCUGCUGUCUGUUCCCCAGUGACAAGCACAUAUUGCCUAACGCAUCUCCUUGGGGACUGAACACCACAUGCCAUCUGUACUGGGAAACCCCAACAGCCUGCUCCAUGCCAUGGGGUUCGUGGGUACAGGGCUGUGGCAGUCAGGCUUGGUGUGUGAGGGGUAGUGACAGCACUGGCUGCGGUGGAGGGGAGACCUGACUGGGUAGAAUGUGGGGGCUGCUGGCAGAUGGAAACCAUUCCAUUUAUAACAAACCUGGCCCAGUGGACUUCAGACUGACUGCUCAGGCCAGGUUCCCUGGCCCACCCAACCAGACCUUAGGCGCGCCCACCGUGCAUGCCCUCACCUGAGUCCUCUGUAACCUCUGACUCCUCUUUCACCUGCAGGCCCAGUGGUGAUUCCUGCAUAGUCCUAGGAGGUGUCUUGGGCCCAGGCUCUGGAGUUGGAGGCUCAGUUUCAGGUAGGGGCUGGAAACUGGAGGGCUCCAUCUUCUCUGAUAGGACCUCCUGGCCCUGCACCUGGACUGUGACCUGGGGAGGUGCCCCCACCAUCAGAAGUCCUACCAGAGAGUAAGGCUGGCCGCAACCUGGGGUUUGUGGGUGCCCAUCCCACUGUAGGAUCCCAGGGGCCUGCCUUGUAAAUACCUACUGACUAGGUCCUCCAAGGACCUACCUCCCCUAGGCCCUGAGCAAAGAAUGAAGGGACCACCUGCAGUCCCUCCCCUGCUCUGACAUCGUGGCCUUCCAGUACCUUCCCCAUAUUCCCCUAGCCUGCAGCUCCUAUGUCCACGUGACUGCAGGUGAUGCAGGAAUGGGCUGGGGAGUCUGGCCCUGGAAUCCCUCUGCCCUGGGCAGCCUUGCACAGGGUCUCUGUUGCAGGUGGCCACUUCUGUACCACAAGGGAGAACGUGUGUCUGGCAAAGCGUGGUGCUGCCCAGGGUGAGGCCGAGCUGGAUGAUGCUCCAGUCCUGAACCCCACUCGUGGACACUCACUCACCCAUCUCCGGGGUCCGCCCGGCUCCCGGCGCAGCCCAUCUACUAGGGCAGCAGCCUCCUCGGGGCUGCCUGGCCGCUGCCCCUGCACA